This 466-nucleotide ribosomal RNA is filed under the name uncultured bacterium. RNAcentral's name for it is "partial 16S ribosomal RNA". It matches the Rfam family "Bacterial small subunit ribosomal RNA", at positions 28 to 507 of the family's 1533-position model. The record is from RNAcentral.
GACGAACGCUGGCGGCGCGCCUAACACAUGCAAGUCGAACGAGCGAGAGGAGGUUUACUUUCUCAAGCGAGUGGCGAACGGGUGAGUAACGCGUGAGGAACCUGCCUCAAAGAGGGGGACAACAGUUGGAAACGACUGCUAAUACCGCAUAAGCCCACGACCCGGCAUCGGGUAGAGGGAAAAGGAGCAAUCCGCUUUGAGAUGGCCUCGCGUCCGAUUAGCUAGUUGGUGAGGUAAUGGCCCACCAAGGCGACGAUCGGUAGCCGGACUGAGAGGUUGAACGGCCACAGUGGGACUGAGACACGGCCCAGACUCCUACGGGAGGCAGCAGUGGGGAAUAUUGCACAAUGGGGGAAACCCUGAUGCAGCGACGCCGCGUGGAGGAAGAAGGUCUUCGGAUUGUAAACUCCUGUUGUUGAGGAAGAUAAUGACGGUACUCAACAAGGAAGUGACGGCUAACUACGUG